UUUAUUGAGAGUUUGAUCCUGGCUCAGGAUGAACGCUGGCGGCGUGCCUAACACAUGCAAGUCGAACGGACGAGAGGAGCUUGCUCCUCAAGUUAGUGGCGGACGGGUGAGUAAUGUAUGAGCAACCUGCCUUUCAGAGGGGGACAACAGUUGGAAACGACUGCUAAUACCGCAUGAUAUAUUCGGAUGGCAUCGUCUGAAUAUCAAAGAUUUAUCGCUGAAAGAUGGGCUCACGUCUGAUUAGUUAGUUGGUGAGGUAACGGCUCACCAAGACUGCGAUCAGUAGCCGGACUGAGAGGUUGAACGGCCACAUUGGGACUGAGAUACGGCC
Molecule: ribosomal RNA, 331 nt
Filed under: Eubacteriales bacterium
Lineage: Bacteria; Bacillati; Bacillota; Clostridia; Eubacteriales
Description: bacterial SSU rRNA
Rfam family: Bacterial small subunit ribosomal RNA
Source: RNAcentral